This is a non-coding RNA of Cucurbita pepo subsp. pepo (vegetable marrow), 483 nucleotides long. The record is from RefSeq and is a predicted model, not a curated record. Lineage: Eukaryota; Viridiplantae; Streptophyta; Magnoliopsida; Cucurbitales; Cucurbitaceae.
GAAGAAAGUGCAUAGAAUGUUUGGGAAGAAAAUUCAGCCACAGGUACAUAGGGGAGGCAGGAGAUGUGGGGUGCUUCGGUUGGAGGUACUCAACUGCGGUGAAGCAUGCAGAGCUUAAGUGGGCGGAGAAAGGGCCUCGCCGGAGAGGAGAGAGAGCCCCACGGAGAGGGUGCGGCGGCGGUGGCGGUGGGGUAACGAACUCCAUGAGUAUGAUGUCGGCAAGUCAGAGCCCAUGGGCACCGGCCACAACCAGUGUGGAUAUUUCCGCCGUUUACAGCUCUCGUUUCGCCGCCAUGUCGUCCCCUCAUUCUCCGGCUCACCGCCACCAUUUACCGUUUUAGUUUCAUCGUUUCGCCAAUUCCUUAUAUUCAUAUUGUAUUAUUUUGACGUUUAAAUCUAUUUAUCCGUUUUAUGUUAGAAUUGGAUAUUGGAGGAUUUAGUUGGUGUCUCAAAUAAAAUAAUUAAAUUAACUAAAUUUAAGAU